GACGAACGCUGGCGGCGUGCCUAAUACAUGCAAGUCGAACGCAGUGGGGACGGGUGAGUAACACGUGGGUAACCUCCCAUCAGAGGGGAUAACACUUGGAAACAGGUGCUAAACCGAUACUGAUGGAUGAACCCGGGGUGCAUUAGCUAGUGGGUGGGGUAACGGCUCACCAAGGCCACGAUGCAUAGCCGACCGGAGAGGGGGAUCGGCCACACGGGGACUGAGAAACGGCCCAGACUCCUACGGGAGGCAGCAGUAGGGAAUCUUCGGCAAUGGAGGAAAGCCGGACCGAGCAACGCCGCGUGAUUGAAGAGGGUUUUCGGAUGGUAAAAUUCUGUUGUUAGGGAAGCGGUAUCUAACCAGAAAGCAACGGCUAACUACGUGCCAGCAGCCGCGGUAAUAC
This 403-nucleotide ribosomal RNA is filed under the name uncultured bacterium. RNAcentral describes it as "partial 16S ribosomal RNA". It matches the Rfam family "Bacterial small subunit ribosomal RNA", at positions 28 to 526 of the family's 1533-position model. The record is from RNAcentral.